CCUGGUCCUGCUGGCCUCGCAUUUUGUGCGUUUCACGGACGGCGUAAAAGAAGUUCAUUGAUUGCACAGCAGUCGAUUCGCUGACCGGUCGGGGUGGUCCUCAUCCACGGCGUCCACGUUACGUGCUCUGCGGUUUGCCGUCUCCUGCUGGCCUAACAGUUCGUGCGUUUCACGGCCGUCCUCGUCCACGUUACGUGCUCUGCGGUUUUCCGUCUCCUGCUGGCCUCGCAUUUUGUGCGUUUCACGGACGGCGUAAAAGAAGUUCAUUGAUUGCACAGCAGUCGAUUCGCUGACCGGUCUGGGUGCUCUGCGGUUUGCCGUCUCCUGCUGGCCUAACAGUUCGUGUACCUUUCGACUUUGGACAUCCAGUUGGUUCGAUACGAUCACCGUUGAAGAAAUGGAAUUUCUCACAGAAACCCUUGAUCCGGAGUCGCUUAACAUUCUCAACGGUAAGUUGGAUUUUAUGUAUGAUUUGUGAAUGUUUUUUGUAUGUAUGUGAACAUUAAUAUCAUCAACUGGGGUGAAUUGUGACGAAAACUUUAAUGUAAACGGAUGUAUAGUCGUUACUGUUUUAACUAUAUUC
Molecule: long non-coding RNA, 583 nt
Organism: Culex pipiens pallens (northern house mosquito)
Lineage: Eukaryota; Metazoa; Arthropoda; Insecta; Diptera; Culicidae
Exons: 3
Source: RefSeq, a predicted model, not a curated record